Long non-coding RNA from Homarus americanus (American lobster), 1257 nucleotides. RefSeq lists it as uncharacterized. Lineage: Eukaryota; Metazoa; Arthropoda; Malacostraca; Decapoda; Nephropidae. The transcript has 3 exons. The record is from RefSeq and is a predicted model, not a curated record.
ACUUGUAUGUUUCACUUCAGUUAAUUAAACUUUUGUUUUGUGUAAGUAGUUUUGAAGAAAGCUACUUUAUACAAAUUAUAAUUUGUACAAAGCAACAGUGUAGUACUGUACUUUAUUUUAAGUAAUACUUCCAGAUACUUUCUCCAUCACUGUCUAAAGUGGACCUGAAUUGAGCUGGACCUGAUGUGAACUAGACUAAAGUGGGCUGGACGUGCAAGUGAAUGAGAUCUGAAGUUAACUGGACCUAAAGGACUAGAUGGUUGGAGGAAGGCAUAAGGUCGAGCAUGACCCAACACACACACAACCAUUGCUGGUGUUGGCUGGGCAGAAGCCGUCACUUGUGCACCAAGAUGUCUUCACGUUUUAGCUCUGGUCUAUAGUCUCAAAUGAGGAGACGUCUGGUCCUGCAGCAACACAGCACAGCACCUUAUAUCACGGCUCCUGUACAGAAGAAAACUUAUCUACUGAUUCUUGGCAGAUUAUGUUACCAUUUGAGGUGAACUGAAGCCUUGAUGUAAUAGUGAUUGAAGACUACAGUACAGGAGGAGAGAGUGUUAUCUGGCAUUGGUAUUAAAAUAGUUAGCAACUGUGUGUUAGUAACUUACAGGGUUCAGUUUAACACAGAUAGGCUCAUCAUAUAUUUUAAUAAAGUACAGGUAUCCCCCAAGAUACUUACAGUAUGUCCAAUAAAUGAACAAUCAUUAUUACAAAAAUAUCAGUUUGACUUAACAAAUUCCCCUCAGUCACACGGUCAGUAUAGCCCAGUGGUGCAUUGGCACUAUUGCAGAAUGUAUUUAUUAUUUUACAAGAAUUAUAUUGGUGAAAAACCCACCAGUUGACUGAUUUUUCCCUCCCAGAACAUAAUACAAGAGUUCUACCAUUCAAUAUGUUUUUUAACUUAGAACCCUUAGUGCUAUACAGUAUGUUAGAGGAUACCUGUACAUGUAAAUUAAUGUACAGUACUGUAGGUUCACCUGUUGGGGAAGUGAAGGCAGUGUUAAUCACAAGGUUCAGUAUACAGUACACUGCUCUUAAUGGACCAUCAUGCUAGACUGAAGUUUUAUACAAGUGAAGGAAGGAUUUGUAUUACUUAAUCUGCACUGGAUUUCUUUCUUUCUUUCGUUUCUUCCACAUCCUAGGUUAGGUUUUAUUUCAUCAGAGCCAACCAUAAAGAGAGUCAUCUAUUAACUGCAGCUGACCCCACCAUAGUUUCAUCUAUCAACUGCAGCUGACCCCAACAUGAAGGACAUUUCAUCU